CAUAAAGAAUUUUCCUUCCUAUCAAGUUUCUAUUCAAAGUCUCCAAUAUUCCUAAACACUUUUCCUAAACAUAAAAAGCCUUAUUUCCAACAGAAGGGGCAUCACAUCAGAUCAACCAUCGCAUGGCUUAUUCCUUUAUCCAUUUCACUCAAAAUCACCAGUUUGUGGUCAAAGUUCUAGUAUGCCAACUUCAUGAUGAUGUCUAUAUCCUUCUUUUGGAAAAUCCGGAAAGUAAACAAUUUCUUCUCCACGUCUUGAGCCUCUACAUCCCCUUUUGCUUUCCAAGCCCAGAUCAUGGUUGACUUGAAAGCCUUUGGAUUCACAGACCCUUGUGUAAGGACCUUCGCCACCAACCAAAAAUCCUGUUAAGCACUCCCUUCCUCAUAAUCGAGAUUAGGUAGUUCAAGUAUCUUGAUUACCUCCUUCACCUGUUACGUUUGGGCUUUUUCCAUGAUCCAUGAGAAAUGUGGGAAAAGCAAAAACUACACCACCACCUCCUUGUCACCCCUUAAUGAUCCCAGCUAAGGGAAAAAAAUAUGUUAUGGAAAAUCCUAGGUAACAUUGCAUGUACGUGAGAAAGCCCAAAGAAACCUUGGGAUUUGAGAAACCCUAACAGCACACCCUAGGCAAAACCCUAGGGGAGCAUGCUGGGAGCUGAGUAGUUGGA
This 667-nucleotide long non-coding RNA is filed under the name Glycine max (soybean). RNAcentral describes it as "long non-coding RNA (GMAX_LNC002200)". Lineage: Eukaryota; Viridiplantae; Streptophyta; Magnoliopsida; Fabales; Fabaceae. The record is from RNAcentral.